This is a long non-coding RNA of Homo sapiens (human), 1419 nucleotides long. Ensembl annotates it as long intergenic non-protein coding RNA 667. Lineage: Eukaryota; Metazoa; Chordata; Mammalia; Primates; Hominidae. The record is from Ensembl.
CGGCAGCGCCGCGGCCGGGAGGGACCGAGCGGGGAGCAAGGCCUGCGGGGAGGCGCAGGAUGGACGCGUUGGCUGUCAUGAUGUAGGACCUCCUGACCUAGAACCAUGCCCGGCGCAGGGAGAACAACGAGCUUACGGACCGGGUGCGGGGGCUGCUGUGCGAGAAAGCCUACCUGCUGGCCCGGGAGCGUUCGCCGGCCCACCUGGUGGCUUUCCCUGGACGUUUAACGGCGACUCCGCCCGGCCUCCCGACUUUUUGAUGCAGGCGUUCUCUUACAUGACUUUCUUCGAGGCUAGAUUCUCGAAAGACAUCCUGAAGGUGGCUUUCUUAAUUAGCUGCCUCACCGGCUGGCGGAGCAGUUCGUAGUCGCCUACAUCGAGAGGGAGAGCCCCGUCCUGGCUCAGUACUGGGGCUUCGUGGACGCGCUGUAGCGGGUCUUCGCCGUCGUGGGUAGGAAACAGUCGGGCCGGAUCCCCGGUGUCUGGGGAGCGGCUGCCGGCCGGGCCCGCGCGAGCCGCUUCACUCCUACAAGCCCGGCUCACUAGUUCCAAGCUGCUGGACUUUGACCCUCGCUGGGAAGCUUGAUCGCCGCCUGUUCUCGCCAAUCUCUAUGCCUUUGCACUGCCCAGCAACCCGGUCACUGCCCAGGACCUGUUAAAAGUUGAAUGGACCUCCCAGAAUCACGCCGCUGCCACCGCCGUUUCUAGAGACGGCUUUUGGCCACCUUUGAGAAUCAGGGUCAAACUUGGAAGGGCCUGCAUUUGUCACACUUCCUCGGACACUAAUUUGGAUAGUUCAGGCCCAGAGACGGCUUCCCGGGUUAGUGUGCCUGACAACACUGAAGAAAAAUUGUGACAUUUUCCUUCCCCAGAAUUACUUCGUUUUAUACAUUUCACUUCUCUUCUGAAAUCACAGCAAUGCCAGUUUGCGCCUUUUGGUCUGAGGAACGCAGGCCCUGGCCACUACCAGGAAAAAAACCUUCUGGAUUUCAGCUUUGGCAAGCUUCCUCUGUUUCUGAGACACCUCCAUCACCUGGAUCCUUUGCACAUGGCCUGCUAUCAACAAUCCUCUACAAUGAUUCUCAGCAUCACCUAGGGAGCUUAUGUAAAAUCUCAAAUUCCUGGGCCCUAUCCCCAGAGUUUCUUAUCAAGUAAGUCUGCAUUGGGAUCUGAGGAUUUGCAUCUCUAACAAAAAUUCCUAGGCGAUGCUCACACUGUUGGUGUAAGGUUUCCUUGAUGGAGAACUAUCAAAGCAGUCAAAGCUAUCAAAAUAAAAAAGAAUUCUGAUUGGGUGCAGUGGCUCACACCUGUCAUUCCAGCACUUUGAGAGGCCAAGGUGGGCAGAUCACAUGAGGCCAGGAGUUCAAGACCAGCCUGGCCAACAUGGCAGAAACCCCAUCUCUACUAAAAAUACCAAAA